Triticum aestivum (bread wheat) is the source of this 71-nucleotide non-coding RNA. The record is from Rfam. NCBI's taxonomy places the organism in Eukaryota, Viridiplantae, Streptophyta, Magnoliopsida, Poales, Poaceae.
ACGCAUCUGGUGUAGUGGUAUCAUAGUACCCUCCCACGAUACUAACCAGGGUUCGAUUCCCUGGAUGCGCA